This is a long non-coding RNA of Acinonyx jubatus (cheetah), 1208 nucleotides long. RefSeq lists it as uncharacterized. The record is from RefSeq and is a predicted model, not a curated record. Lineage: Eukaryota; Metazoa; Chordata; Mammalia; Carnivora; Felidae. The transcript has 3 exons.
CGUGGCAAGGGUGUUUAUCAAGGGCCCUUGUUCCUGCUGUGAUGUCUGCGAUAUGACGCCCGGCUCCCCUCCCUCGCAGCACGCCCCCCCCCUCCCCGUCCACGGCCCCCCGCCCGCCGCGAGCCGGCCGGGCCCAGGCCUCAUUGGGCAUCUGCCGUCUGGGAAACGCGAACAGGGCUCCUGCCAGAAGAGGCAAGGCCUUUGUGCUUUAUUGAAAGAGACAGGAUUUAUUUUCAUUUUCCUUUGCCUCCUGUGCUUUGAGGUUCCCUAAAGCCAGGGGAUUCCGGAAUAAGCAAAGAAACCAGAUCCCCCAUAAGAGUGGCUUUCUGGCUAAUUGCCUGGGUGAGGAUUAACUUCAAGUCCUCUCCUGCUUUGAAAUCUGCCUUCUCAUUAGGCUUUGCUGAUCCUCAGGUAGGACAGCUCCCACCCACCCCCGUUUCACGUUAAGGACGUUUCUAGGAAUCUCACCCUUUCUUCGUACGGGGGGUUUGGGGCCGGAUGGAGGGCCGUGGCGGCUCUGUUCCCGUCCCGGGCUCACCUGUGCCCCCAGCCCCCUGCUUAGGCCUCCCUGACCAGCAGACCAGUCUCUGCUUCCCCGGAAGGCGCCGGGGCGUGCAUGAGGCAGGCAGUGGCUGGAGCAGGUGUGGGGCCCUCUGGAGCAGGGCUGUGCGCCACAGGGCGUUGGAACCGGCCGCACAGACUUACAAGAGCCAGUUCCCUGUUUAGUGACAUUGCACAGGACCCAUGCACCUGCCAGGCACUUCCGUACAGAAGCAGAGACUAAGCAGGUGAGCUGGAACCAGGAAGAACCAGAGAGUGGGUCUGCUUUCCUGGGUAACAGAGCUGGAACUUCGAGGCUCCUGUCCGGCUGGAACAGCGUCAGGGCCGGCCACACCUGCACCUGCCCCUGAGCGGCCUGGGCUGCAGCAUCCUCUGCCCAAAGAGUGUCUGAACGGUGUCUGUGACCAAUCUGAAGACCAGUUUCUCCUCCUCUCCCACCUUGAAUGGGGUCUGAGCAUCCUGGGAAAGAAUGGGUACUGGCACCUUGGCCAACUCAUCGACUAUUCCCGCCCCCCUCCCAUCAUCCAAGCAAAGACCUAGAGUACCCUAGAUUCUUCCUAACUGCCUCGUUCUGAGACACCCCAUGAUCCCGCAGGCUGGGUGCUCUGUUUCCCUGUGCGAAGUAAUAAAUCCAAUUUGUCCAACCA